CCGACGAGCGGCGGACGGGUGAGUAAUGCAUAGGAAUCUGCCCAGUCGUGGGGGAUAACCUGGGGAAACCCAGGCUAAUACCGCAUACGUCCUACGGGAGAAAGCGGGGGCUUCGUGUUCUUCGGAAUGGGGACCUCGCGCGAUUGGAUGAGCCUAUGUCGGAUUAGCUGGUUGGUGAGGUAACGGCUCACCAAGGCGACGAUCCGUAGCUGGUCUGAGAGGAUGAUCAGCCACACCGGGACUGAGACACGGCCCGGACUCCUACGGGAGGCAGCAGUGGGGAAUAUUGGACAAUGGGCGCAAGCCUGAUCCAGCCAUGCCGCGUGUGUGAAGAAGGCUUUCGGGUUGUAAAGCACUUUCAGUGGGGAAGAAGGCCUGGCGGUCAAUACCCGCCAGGGACGACAUCACCCACAGAAGAAGCACCGGCUAACUCCGUGCCAGCAGCCGCGGUAAUACGGAGGGUGCGAGCGUUAAUCGGAAUUACUGGGCGUAAAGCGCGCGUAGGCGGCCAAGUAAGCCGGUUGUGAAAGCCCCGGGCUCAACCUGGGAAUGGCAUCCGGAACUGGUUGGCUAGAGUGCAGGAGAGGAAGGUAG
RNAcentral lists this ribosomal RNA (594 nucleotides) under Halomonas zincidurans B6. Its description in RNAcentral is "bacterial SSU rRNA". It matches the Rfam family "Bacterial small subunit ribosomal RNA", at positions 88 to 664 of the family's 1533-position model. Lineage: Bacteria; Pseudomonadati; Pseudomonadota; Gammaproteobacteria; Oceanospirillales; Halomonadaceae. The record is from RNAcentral.